This is a long non-coding RNA of Lontra canadensis (Northern American river otter), 818 nucleotides long. RefSeq lists it as uncharacterized. The transcript has 2 exons. NCBI's taxonomy places the organism in Eukaryota, Metazoa, Chordata, Mammalia, Carnivora, Mustelidae. The record is from RefSeq and is a predicted model, not a curated record.
AACAGGUCUGAUUAACUAGAAUUUGCCAAGCUGAGCAGGGCAUAUGAAAGCAAAGAAAAGGCAAAACAAACGAGAGUGCUCUCCUAUCUGGACCUCAGAAUUUCUCCCAAACUGAUAGAACUGAAGAUACGACCGUCCCUCCUCAGAACAAGAGGCCUUGGCUAGACUUGCUUGUAAAAACAUGUAACAAGCCCCAAGCCAAAAGGGGCCAGCGACAACCCGGGUCGGCUAGACGCAAGAGAAGGACCUACAAGGCACAGUGCAAGCAAAAGGCCAAGAAGACCGAGACCGCGCCGGGCGCUGUUUAAAUUGGACCGUUCUUUCUGCAGGCUGGGGAGGCGCUCGCGAUCUCCCGGCAGGGGCGGUCGCCAGAGUGCAGGGACAAUGGUGCGCUAGGCACAGGCUUUUUGGGGAGGGGAACCCACGGACCCUUCAUUCAGCCCGGGUCUUUAAGACGUGCGGUGGAAGUGAGGGGCUGUCCUGGUCCCAUCAAGUAGCGCACCACGGCCGGGGACAGGCUUUUGGCCUGGGGUUUCUUAAGGAGACAAAAUGGGGUCACAACAAACAUCAAGAUACAAGGCUUCCUAGAUAUCUGCUUACAACAUCCCUUUCUCUGAUGUUCUACUUCUGACCUCACCUUCUUUCAUUUCUCCACCUGCCUCCUCAGCCUCCCUUACCCUCCCAUGAUGCUCCUCCAGCUCCUUCGCCCCUCCCAAGUCCUUCCCUCUAGAGGUCUCCCUGAACUUGAACUAGCCUCUCUCCAUGACAACAAAAGGUGUGAGAAAAAGAGUGAGCAGCUGCAGAAAUAAAUAAAUAAA